GAGUAAUGUCUGGGAAACUGCCUGAUGGAGGGGGAUAACUACUGGAAACGGUGGCUAAUACCGCAUAACGUCGCAAGACCAAAGAGGGGGACCUUCGGGCCUCUUGCCAUCAGAUGUGCCCAGAUGGGAUUAGCUUGUUGGUGAGGUAACGGCUCACCAAGGCGACGAUCCCUAGCUGGUCUGAGAGGAUGACCAGCCACACUGGAACUGAGACACGGUCCAGACUCCUACGGGAGGCAGCAGUGGGGAAUAUUGCACAAUGGGCGCAAGCCUGAUGCAGCCAUGCCGCGUGUAUGAAGAAGGCCUUCGGGUUGUAAAGUACUUUCAGCGGGGAGGAAGGUGUUGUGGUUAAUAACCGCAGCAAUUGACGUUACCCGCAGAAGAAGCACCGGCUAACUCCGUGCCAGCAGCCGCGGUAAUACGGAGGGUGCAAGCGUUAAUCGGAAUUACUGGGCGUAAAGCGCACGCAGGCGGUCUGUCAAGUCGGAUGUGAAAUCCCCGGGCUCAACCUGGGAACUGCAUUCGAAACUGGCAGGCUUGAGUCUUGUAGAGGGGGGUAGAAUUCCAGGUGUAGCGGUGAAAUGCGUAGAGAUCUGGAGGAAUACCGG
RNAcentral lists this ribosomal RNA (608 nucleotides) under Salmonella enterica subsp. enterica serovar Pomona. Its description in RNAcentral is "bacterial SSU rRNA". It matches the Rfam family "Bacterial small subunit ribosomal RNA", at positions 108 to 712 of the family's 1533-position model. Lineage: Bacteria; Pseudomonadati; Pseudomonadota; Gammaproteobacteria; Enterobacterales; Enterobacteriaceae. The record is from RNAcentral.